AAGUGGCCUGACAUCUGGGGAGGAGGCAGAGCAAGUAUUUUCCUACCUUUCAAGAUAUAACAACAACACUAAGAACAUGCUUAAAGCUGAGCGUACAGAAGAACUGACAGAGGCGGCACUCUUUUGGAAUCACAGAAAAAUUAAUGGAAUGCCUCGGGCAUUAGUUGCCAGAUUCAGAAAGGCCACAGAGACAGCUGCAGCAGUUUCAAAUGAGAUUCACAGGCUUAAUGUUCC
Procambarus clarkii (red swamp crayfish) is the source of this 234-nucleotide non-coding RNA. The record is from RefSeq and is a predicted model, not a curated record. Lineage: Eukaryota; Metazoa; Arthropoda; Malacostraca; Decapoda; Cambaridae.